This 208-nucleotide ribosomal RNA is filed under the name uncultured bacterium. RNAcentral's name for it is "partial 16S ribosomal RNA". It matches the Rfam family "Bacterial small subunit ribosomal RNA", at positions 568 to 774 of the family's 1533-position model. The record is from RNAcentral.
CUCGUAGGCGGCCAACUAAGUCAGACGUGAAAUCCCUCGGCUUAACCGGGGAACUGCGUCUGAUACUGGAUGGCUUGAGUGUGGGAGAGGAAUGCGGAAUUCCAGGUGUAGCGGUGAAAUGCGUAGAUAUCUGGAGGAACACCGGUGGCGAAGGCGGCAUUCUGGACCAUUACUGACGCUGAGUGAGCGAAAGCCAGGGGAGCAAACG